ACCACAUAAGCAGGUGAAACUUCUUAGAGGAACUGGCGCCCGAAAAGGCGCACGAGAAAGAGCAAUAACAGGUCUGUGAUGCCCUAAGAUGUCCGGGGCCGCACGCGUGCUACAAUGACGAUGCUACUGAGCAUGAUUAACUUGUCCGAAAGGAUUGGUGAAACUGUUCAAUUAUCGUCGUGACUGGGAUUGAGGUUUGCAAUUGUCCCUCAUGAACCAGGAAUUCCUAGUAAGCACAAGUCAUAAGCUUGUGCUGAUUACGUCCCUGCCCUUUGUACACACCGCCCGUCGCUACUACCGAUUGAAUGGUUUAGCAAGGACAUUGGAUUGAGCCUUUGCGGUUCACGCUGCUUUGGUUUGAGAAGAUGUCCGAACUUGAUCAUUUAGAGGAAGUAAAAGUCGUAACAAGGUUUCCGUAGGUGAACCUGCGGAAGGAUCAUUAUCAAGUUCCAUUGAACCGUGCACGGUCUCGUUCGGGAGAUGCUCCGUCAUAAGCUAUCUCGAGCGAGUGACUCGUGUGGCCAUAUCCAUCGGGGGACUAUGCCCCCGCAAUGGCCGCUUAUGAUACAGAAAUGAUCGGUAUGGCCCUUGCUGUAACACUUCUUACGGUCUGUGGUUCGUAUCGUUCAUCCGCCAGCCCACAUGACGGGCUGUCUGGCUUACGCAGGUUGUGACGUGUUGCGUAAGUUGGGCAGUCUUGUACACUCGUUCAGUGAGGCUCGGUACGUCACGCCCUUCUCCCUUCGGGUGAGUCUGUUUGUGCUUUUAUCUGUGUCUUACGGUCUGAAAGGUCACGUCGUUGGAAGUAGCUUUGCUAGUUUGGCUUCUGGUUGAACUGGCGGGGUGAAAACAUAAUAGGGGCCUGGAAGACUGCCCAGCGUCUCUGGCUCGGCUAGAUGAUGC
Molecule: ribosomal RNA, 903 nt
Filed under: Dactylogyrus achmerowi
Lineage: Eukaryota; Metazoa; Platyhelminthes; Monogenea; Dactylogyridea; Dactylogyridae
Description: bacterial SSU rRNA
Rfam family: Eukaryotic small subunit ribosomal RNA (bases 1-442)
Source: RNAcentral